Molecule: long non-coding RNA, 8432 nt
Filed under: Zostera marina
Lineage: Eukaryota; Viridiplantae; Streptophyta; Magnoliopsida; Alismatales; Zosteraceae
Description: long non-coding RNA (ZMAR_LNC003723)
Source: RNAcentral
UCAUCAUUUAGCACCGCUACUCUUCACAAAUCUUCUGUCAAUCCAGAAGAAACUCGAAAUAUCUUAGAUAGAAAAUUUGAAACGAGUUUGUUUUCGUAUACAGAUAAAAUAGAUAUAGAAAGAAAGUUCAGGAUUCUCCGGUUGCAAUAUAUGAGAACCUUCGAGCAGUGAAGAAUCUAUCAGUUCAGCGUAAUGAAGUUGAGACAAGAAAUCAAGCUUAUCAUCGGUCUACUGAGGAACACUUCGAUCUUCAUCAUAUCUAGUUUAACCUACAAAGAAGCAGCUCAAAACAUCAUUUUCUCCCACAAAUGACACCCAAACAACUAAUGCAAUUCAAAUCCCUUCAACCGCGUAGAUGGGAUCUUCUUCCUUACUGGCCGACCGCCAAUUACAUUCGUGUUGUCGUCUUCCUCCUGUUCAGCCACCGCGCUUGUACCCUCAGAUCUGCCCUGCUCCCGUUGAUGGUGAAUGUCAUCCAGGAUUGCCCCUUCAUUCAAGCUCUCUAUCACACAACAAGCUGAAACACGUCGCCUUGGAUCUAUAUUUUGUAAGGGAAAAGGUCGAGGACGGAGGACGGGAACAUUAUGGUCAAACAUAUUUCCGACACGAACCAAUGGGCCGAUAUACUUACAAAGGCACUUCCGCCAAAGGUUUUUUUAGCACUCCAGUCGAAGUUCGUCGGAGAGCCUCCCCGAGCUUGAGAGGGGGGGGCGUAUUGUUAGACAAAUAUAUCUUUAGGCUUAAUAAAAUACUGUUAGUUACAAAUGUAAUAUAAAUAGAAUUGCAUGACUCUUUACAACGGUCGGAUUGUAUUUUUGAUUUUCUCAAUACAAGAUUAGUUUUUUGAAAUCACACUCUGUUUAGGAAUUUAACAUGGUAUCAGUUGCUUCUUUAAGAGUUGAUUAUAACUAAUUAACAAGCGAUUUUGUUUCCCCAAAUCGCCCUUCUUCCCCAAAUUUAUUUCUUUUCUCAACGUGAUUCUUGAAGAAAAGUUCUUCCCUGACGUUAUUUCUGUUCUCAACGAUUUCGUCUGACGCGAUUCCAUGAAGCGUCUUCUCUGACGUUAUUUCUCUCCGUCACGAAGCGUCUUCUCUACGCGAUUCCACGAAGCGUCUUCUCUACGUGAUUCCACGACGUGCUUUCUCGUUUUGUGAUUUGCAAUUUGUGAGAUUCCUGCGAUUCUGUGAGAUUUGCGAUUCUGAUUUUGAAGGGUUGACCCCUGCGAGUCUGCACGCAAUCUUCUCAUCGUCACUUCUGCGUGAUUCCCAUUUCGCGAUGACACGAUUCCAGAUUUAAUUAAUUCCAGAUUUUCUGCACGGUCUAGAACGAGUUUUUCCGCGAUUCUUUAUCUUGAUUCUUCGGGCAGGUCUGAUUUUAUUUUAUUUUUCCCUUAGUAAAUUUUUUUCCCUGUGCUUUUACAUCAGACUAGUAUGUAAUCCGAUUCAUGUUCUUCUGGAUAUCCCAAGACCACCGAAUCAAUUCCAGAUUACUUGCAUAAGUGUCGCAAUGGAUCUACAUAUCUCCUUGAGCGAAGUGAUACUUAUCUAACCUGGAAGGCAUAGAUGUAGAAUCUUCUUCGAAUUCAUGACUUGACAUAUUUGAUUACUGAACCACUGAUUAUUCCCUCAGAAAAGCUUGCUGAUGGGUCUCUCAAUCCAGCUUUUAAAAUUUGGUGUCAAAAGAAUUGGAUUGUUAUAGGUUGGAUUCAGGCUGCAGACUGCAGUUGGGUCACCAAUGUUUUCCUUAGUAUUGAAUCACGAUACUACGUUAGAUUGUUGGAAGACACUCGAGCUAUAUCUUUCUCCACGCAAGAUAUGGUCCAUUCACAAAUUAACAAUUCGAGAUGAACUGUGUCAUCUAAAGAAAUUGGAUAACGAGACUAUGUGAGAAUUUAUCAUCAAAGUUCGAGCAUUGAUGGAUGGGCUAGAAACAUCAAGUGGUUGUUUAUCUGACAGAGACAAGAUCGAUUUUGUGAUUGAUGGUCUGGGUGUGGACCUCGUCCCUUUUUGUCAUGUAUUCACUCAUAGAAAAAAUAUGGUAUUUGAUGAAUUUAUUCAUCUUGUUGUUAAGGAAGACAUUUUUUUUCGUCGUUAAACAAAUCAAAACUCUGCAAUUAUCAACGAAUCACCAACAACAUUCGUCGCAAAAUCUAGAUUUUACAAAAAACAAGAAUUAUAAUAACCGCAACUCUGAUCAUCGUAAUAAAGAAUCAAACCACAAAAAUGAGAAAUUCAGCAACAAAGGUUCAAGUAAAGGGAGAUGGAGAAAUCCAACCACCGUAGUCUGUCAAUUUUGUGAUACUCUAGAAACGUGUAGGAAAGCAAUGGCAGCUAUAUGGAAGAUGAUGGCAAAGAUAACAACUGGUUGUUAGACUCUGGCGCCUCCUCACACAUGACUCUGGCGCCUCCUCGUACAGUAAAAUUCCUCUAGGUGUAAUACACAUGGAUGUUUGGGGUCUAUCACCCAAAACAUCGAUACAUGGAUACAAAUAAUAUCUAUUAUUGGUAGAUGGAUGUACAAGAUUUUCAUGGAUAUAUCCUCUUUUAUACAAAAGUCAGGUAUUUGACUGCUUUAAGGACUUUCAUAUAAUGAUUGAAAGAUCUUUAGAAUUACAGAUAAAAUCCAUACAGACUGACUGUGGAGGUGAGUUUCUCAACUCCUCAUUUUCUACGUAUUGCAAAAAUACUAGGAUAAAACACAAACUCUCAACACCCUAUGCUUCAGAACAAAAUGGAUAAUUAGUGGAAAUAAAACAUGGUCACAUAGUCUUUGUGGCUAGGUGUUUCUUCACACAAUUAAUCUGAAGUUCCAAAAGAGUAUUGGAUGGAAGCUUAUGCUGCUUCAGUUUACACAAUAAAUAGGAUUCCAUCUAGAACAUUAGGUUAUUCUUCUCCUUUAUCAUUAUUAUACAACAAAUUAGAAUUAGAGAUUUUGGAUUUUAAAAUUUGUUUAGGUUUGUAAAUAUGAUUUUAUUUAUCAAUGUAUUUCGUAUUUAUGUUUUAAAAGAUUGGAUUUGAGUUUUGUUAGGUUGUUUGAAAGGUUUUGAAAUUAGAUAUUACUUUUUUUAGUGUUAACGUUUUGAAUGAUUUUGAGUUGAGUUUAAGUUUUGAUUUUGUUAUAGGGAUUUUAUUAUUUUAAGAUUAUGUUAAUAAUUUAAUAUAGGAAUUUGUAAUUUAUUUUGUUAAAUUAAUGUUGUUAAUGAAUUCGAUAAAUUUUAUAUAUGUUGAUAUUGUUAAUUGUAAUUAUAUUUAUAUGUUAUUGUUAUUAUCUAACUAUUAUAAUUUAAAUAAUUAAAUUUUUUAAAAUUAUAUUUAAUUUAUUCUCGAUCAAAUAUUUUUAUAUAUUUAAAAAAUAUAUAUAUAUAAUUUUAAAAAAUAUAUUUAAAAUAUAUAUAUAUUUUUUAUAUUUCAUUAAUAAUUUGAUUAAAUAAAAUUUUAAAGUAACAAAAUAAAAAAUAACUAAAUUAAUUAGUGUAAUAUUAGAUCAAUAGUUAAUAUUUUUUAUUUAUAAUUUUAAAAUAAAAAAGAUUAAUAAAGAUUUUUGGAGGUGAAAUUCCAGCAAAAUAAUUUCCAAAAAAAUCCACAAAAAAAAUUUCCCGCCAAUAUUUUUAUAGAAAAUUUAAUUUCUCGUGAAAAUGUGAGUAUUGGUGGCGGAAAUCCGCCACGAAAAAUCUACCAUACAAUGUCUCUUUUUUUGUAGUUAAUCAUCAACAAUUAGGAUUGUGAUAUAAUUCCAAUCAGCUAUGAGGAAGUAUCAGAGUGUAUCCAGUCGGAGGGGGACAGUGAAAUCGCGGAAUCCCUAACUGGGGAAAGAUUGGGGAUGAACGACGACAGUCCAGAACAGCUUAACCGUGGCGAACCCGGUCAACCUUCCACAAGCAUGAGAGAAAGAAGUCGGCCCACUUGGAAGAUUACUUAAUGGGCUAGGGGAGGAAUUGGCCCACUUGAAGAAUUUAUGUUUGUUUUUAAAAUUGCUAAAUAGACCUUAAGUUUAAAUUUAAUGUUGUAAUAGUCAGUAGUAGAAUGUUUUAAUGAUUGGAAAAUCAGUAUCGAAAAUUGAACCAAAUAUUCCUGUUCUUGCGCAAACUUCCUCUCAAACCCUACAUCCGGCGUUGUGUCGAGUACCUCUCCACCCCUCCCAUCAAAAUCCGUCCGGUCUGCCUCAACUUCCAGCCGCAUUGAGCCCUCUGCUGAUUGGUUUAACAACCGUGAUCACCCAGAGCUAAGACUCAAUAUCAGGGAUAUAUUCCCGCCGUGAACUACCUUGGACACCUAAAAUCUCUGAUCUUAGAUCUAGGGCAUCAUCGACCUCAGGUCAAUUCGUUUUUAAAUUUGUUUAGGGAUUUAGAACCCUAUCACUGGUGCUUUCAAUAUUUGAUCUCUCAUUUCAGGAUGUCUACAAUGGAUUUAACAACGAAUCCAGACUUUCAAAGAUUACAGACACUACAAAUGUCUCAAAUCAAAGAGAUAAGCGAAUUCAGGAACAAUGUAAAUAACAAUUUCUUGGAGUUAGGGAGGCAGAUUAGUGAAAUUUGUUCCACACUCAAAGAAAAGCCACCAGAUACAAGUAAAAUCAAUCUGGAGAAUCCUGAAAUUGAAGGAAAUGCAAAAGAAAAACCUAAAUCACAUCAUCUAUUCUACCAGUCAGUGGUAGACUUAGAUAACCUGGAUUAUGCAAGUAGCAUUAUGAAUAAUGACUCUUAUGAACCGGCCAAGCACAUAAAGGUCAAUAUGCCAAGGUUCGAUGGCACUGAUGCAGAAGGAUGGCUAUUUUCAGUACGAAGGUACUUUAUAUUCAAUAAAAUACCUGAAGAUCAGAAACUGGUUAUUGUAUCAUUUCAUUUAGAUGGGAUAGCAAAGAAAUGGUUUGCUUGGCUUGAAGCAAGCAACAUGCUAUCAUUUUGGAAAAACUUUGUGGAUGCAGUUAUCAGGAAAUUCACAACUUGACACUACUCCCUACCUGGUGGCAAGCUAAGUAAACUAUGCCAAGAAGUUACAGUGGCUGAGUACCAAGCUCUGUUUGAAGAACUAUGCACUAGGGUAUUGGGCCUACCAGAAUAUUUUAUUUUAGAGAUGUAUAUUUCUGGCCUUAAAGAAGAAAUUCAGCCAGAAGUGAUUUCAAAAAAGCCAUCUGAUAUUCAUGAAGCUUUUGAGCUAUCUCUCAUAUUUGAGGCAAGAAAACCAAGGUUUAAAGGCAGCAACAAGCCUUUCUAUACAAAACCAUUCAUACCAAAGACUACACCAUUCAGUUUCAAGCCUGGCCAAAUAGAAGUAACCCCAAAGGAAGCUAACAUACAAAAACCUGUGUUUAAAAGACUAUCUCCUGCUGAAAGAAAGGAGAGAACUGCAAAAGGGUUAUGUUUUAACUGUGAUGAUAAAUUCAUUCCGGGUCACAAGUGUAAAGGAAAUUUUUUCAGAAUGUCGACAGAUGAAUUUUAUUUUUAGGAGGUGGUUGAUGAAGAGGAAACUGAGGAGGAACCUGAAAAUAUAAGUUCUGAGGAUCGGGAAAUCAGCUAUCAUGCAUUUGAGGGUCAUAUUAAUGCCACUACUAUCAGACUAGAUGGGUUCAUAAAAAGUCAGUGUGUGAGUGUUCUAUUAACUACAGGCUCAACACACAACUUUAUGCAAACUGAGGUAGCAGCUGCACUAAAAUUAGUUCCUCAUGUCAUAGUACCAUUUAAAGUAUCUACGGGCAGUGGAAAAUUGAUCUGUGAGGCUGUUUGCAAAGAGGUAGAGAUUAAAAUUCAGAACACAAUUGUAAAAAUGGACAUUUUUCUACUUCAGAUGGAAGGAGCCAAUGUGGUGAUUGGGAUUCAAGGACUGAAAUCUUUAGGACCAGUUACUUUUAAUUUUGAUGAUUUGAAUGUCUUUCCUAAAAGAAGAGAGAUUAUUUGGCAGGGUUGUCCAUGGGAUUCUGAAGACCUCCUAUCUGUGGGUAAGUUAAAGUGUCUUAUUGCUUCAACACAAGAGGCUUACUUAUGUUAUAUGGAAAGGGUAGAAGAAAACGAGAAAGUUCCCAUUUUGAAUUCUAAUAGCCAAGAGGUAACUGAAAUUGUACAACAGUACACUGAUAUUUUUGAAACACCAACAAGGUUACCACCACAAAGGGACAGAGACCACUUUAUACAUCUUGAGAAUAAUUCCAACCCUAUCAAUGUGAGGCCUUAUAGGUACCCACAAUUUAAGAAAUCAGAGAUUGAAAGGUUAUAAGUUGCUGAAAUGAUGACUCAAAAAAUUAUCAAGCCCAGUACUAGUCCCUACUACUCCCCAGUACUGCUAGUAAAAAAGAAAGAUGGGGUUUACAGAUUAUGUGUGGAUUAAGAGCAUUAAAUGCCCUAACUAUCAAAGAUAAGUUCACUAUCCCUACUGUGGAUGAACUCCUUAGAGAACUUAAAGGAUCUAUUUUUUUUCAAAAUUAGAUCUAAGAUCAAACUUCCACCAGAUUAGAGUCCAUGCUCCUCAUACUGAAAGGACAGCAUUCAAAACUCAUCAGGGGCACUUCGAAUUCUUAGUGAUGCCAUUUGGGCUCACAAAUGCACCAGCAACAUUUCAAUCGGUUAUGAAUUCAGUUUUUGCUAAAUAUUUGAGAAAAUUUUGUACAAUCAAAAUUGUCGAUAUAAGAUUAUAUUUUAAUUCAUGUCAAUUUAAACCCUAAUUACACUAUUAAUCUAUAGGGGUUAAAUAAGUCAAUCGAUAUUAAACCUAACUCCAAUUAAUUAAUUAAUCAUUUGAGUUAAAUGUUUAAUUCAAAGUUAAAAGUCAAAUUGGAAUAAUUGCAUCUUUACCUUGAAUAUUAUUAUUAUUAUCUUUUGACUCUUUAUUCAAGGUAUAAUAUUUCAAGGGGACAAAACACUAUUCACGUUUGAAUUUUUUCAAAGAUAAGAUUCUCCAACAAACACUAUUCAAGAUAAGAUCAAAGGCAAAGCUUGGAUUUAUGUGAGAAAUCAAAGAGCCAUCCAUUGAAGAUCCAAGGGUGGACAUUGAGUGGCCAAGGCUAUAAAUAAAAAGGUAUUCCCCUCAUUUUCACUCACCACACUACAAGCAAUCAAAGAGUUUUCACUCCACAUUUGAGAUCACACGUUUUUGCCUCCAAGCUUCCAAGCAUCCAAAGUGCUCAAGUGUCCUAGCUUUCUAAAGUUUCAAAAGCUCUCCAACUUCUUCUUCUAAUCUUCUUGUUCAUCUCUACAAGUAAGAAGUGUUGUUUGCUUAAAUAUUCCACUCCUCUAAUCACCUCUUGUAUGUGUCCACUUUGUUCGAGAGGUUUCCGGGAUAACCUCUAAUAAUCAAAAAGCUCUAAGUUUGGUUUUAUAGAGUUUCCGGGAUAACUUUUAGGUCAAUCUACCUUGAAAGAUUUCUAGGUUCUUAAGAGUUUCCUUAAUUGAUGGCCAAACAGAAAUUGAUGGCCAAACAGAGGUAAUGAACAGAACGCUGGAGAUGUAUUUAAGGUCUUGUUGUCAUGAAGACCCAAAACAAUGGUUGGGGUUACUACCUUGGGCAGAAUUGUGGUAUAAUUUAAGGUAUCACUCAUCACUUGGAAUGACUCCAUUUAAGGCAGUUUAUGGGAAAGAAGCUGAUGAACUACCACAUUACAAUGCAAGGGAAUCUCAAAUUGAAUCAGUAGACACCCUAUUGCAAAUCAGGGAGGAGGUUCUGGAAAUUAUGAAAAAAAAUCUAGCAAAAGCACAAGCAAGGAUGAAAUCACAAGCUGAUAGAAAAAAGGUAUGAUAUCACAUUUAAAUUGGGAGAUUGAGUGUUGGUGAAACUUCAACCAUAUAGACAAAUAUCAGUAGCUAACAGGAUUCACAACAAAUUAUGUCAAAAAUAUUUUGGACCUUAUAAAGUGGAAAAAAUAAUAACAAAGCUGCAUACAGACUCAAGCUACCUGAGGGAAGCAAAAUUCAUAAUACUUUUCAUGUCUCAAGAUUGAAGGCAUUCAUAGGUCCAAUUCCAGAAAAUUCGAGCAAAGGGGAUCCUGUAAUUUCUGUCCAAAACCAACCAAUUACAUACCCAUUAGCAAUACUGGAAAGGAAAAAGUAAAUCAGAUACUAAUUCAAUGGAAUGGAGCAUUACCUGAGGAUUCUUCUUGGGAGUCUAUGGCGGACAUGGCAGCGGCAUUUCCUUCUUUAAACCUUGAGGACAAGGUCGUCUCUAGAGGGGGAAGUGAUGAUAUAAUUCCAAUCAACUAUGAGGAAGUAUCAGAGUAUAUCCAGUUGGAGGGGGGCAGUGAAAUCGCGGAAUCCCUAACUGGGGAAAGAUUGGGGAUGAACGACGACGGUCCAGAACAGCUUAACUCUGGUGAACCUGGUCAGCCUUCCACAAGCAGCAGUAGACCUGCUAGGGAGAGAAAGAAGCCGGCCCACUUGUUUAAUGGGCUAAGGGAGGAAUUGGCCCACUUGAAGAAUUUAAGUUUUUUUAAAAAAAAUUGCUAAAAAG